This is a non-coding RNA of Rhinolophus ferrumequinum (greater horseshoe bat), 666 nucleotides long. NCBI's taxonomy places the organism in Eukaryota, Metazoa, Chordata, Mammalia, Chiroptera, Rhinolophidae. The record is from the annotation of a RefSeq genome assembly.
CAUCACAUCUACUGAGCAUCCUCAGUGUGCAGAAACACUUCCUACACUGUGGCAACUAUACUGUGGAAGGGACAGACAAGUUAUCCUGUGGCCCUAAGGGUGGAAGACAGAAUUUGCUUUUGAAAAAAGCUCUUUAUUCAACGGGAGGGAGUCGACCUUCGACCUUCAGCGGCUCAGGAACUGGGAUGCAGUGCCUGGCUCGUAGUGUCCUGCAGCAGAUGUGGGGACUUUUCCUUCUUUAUGUUUUUCUGACAAUGGAAGGCAUUCCAGGACAAAGUGUUCAGCAGACUGCUGAGUUGACGGCUAUGGAAGGAGCCUCUGUCCAGAUCAACUGCUCGUACCAGGCAUCGGGGUUUAACGGGCUGUCCUGGUACCAACAACAUGAGGGCAGUUCACCCAUAUUAUCUCUUACAAGUUCUGGAUGGUUUGGAGAGCAGAGGGCAUCAUUUUUCCUCAUUCCUGAGUCGUUCUGAGACAUACAGUUACCUCCUUGUGAAGGAUCUUCAGAUGAAAGACUCUGCCUCUUACCUCUGUGCUGUGAGAGACACAGUGAUUACGAAGCCUCUUCAGCUGUAGCAAAAUUCAAAAGGCAGCCAUUGGAGUAAGAAGUUGUAUUUCCUGAGUGUAUGCCUGCUAUGAGUUAAGACAGGGGACUUUGGAACCAGA